UGGGGAAUUUUGGACAAUGGGCGAAAGCCUGAUCCAGCAAUGCCGCGUGCGUGAAGAAGGCCUUCGGGUUGUAAAGCACUUUUGUCCGGAAAGAAAUCCUUGGCUCUAAUACAGUCGGGGGAUGACGGUACCGGAAGAAUAAGCACCGGCUAACUACGUGCCAGCAGCCGCGGUAAUACGUAGGGUGCAAGCGUUAAUCGGAAUUACUGGGCGUAAAGCGUGCGCAGGCGGUUUGCUAAGACCGAUGUGAAAUCCCCGGGCUCAACCUGGGAACUGCAUUGGUGACUGGCAGGCUAGAGUAUGGCAGAGGGGGGUAGAAUUCCACGUGUAGCAGUGAAAUGCGUAGAGAUGUGGAGGAAUACCGAUGGCGAAGGCAGCCCCCUGGGCCAAUACUGACGCUCAUGCACGAAAGCGUGGGGAGCAAACAGGAUUAGAUACCCUGGUAGUCCACGCCCUAAACGAUGUCAACUAGUUGUUGGGGAUUCAUUUCCUUAGUAACGUAGCUAACGCGUGAAGUUGACCGCCUGGGGAGUACGGUCGCAAGAUUAAAACUCAAAUGAAUUGACGGGGUCAUAGCUGUUUCCU
RNAcentral lists this ribosomal RNA (585 nucleotides) under uncultured bacterium. RNAcentral's name for it is "partial 16S ribosomal RNA". It matches the Rfam family "Bacterial small subunit ribosomal RNA", at positions 355 to 1375 of the family's 1533-position model. The record is from RNAcentral.